UUGGGCUUCUCAAAAUUUUUAAAAAAUCACUUAUCACCCGAAAUAAGCAAUGCCAAACAGGCACUAAGACUAAAUAAUAACAGAUUUGUUGGAGAGUUGCCUUCACAAUUGAAGAAUUGCAGAGAGUUGACACUUGUUGAUGUUGGGGAAAAUAAAUUAUCAGGAUUAAUACCUGAAUGGCUAGGGGAAAAUCUGCUAAAUUUGUCUAUCAUUAUCCUUCGAUCUAAUCAAUUUUAUAGGAGCAUCCCGCCACAAUUAUGUCAUCUUACACAACUUCAAAUUUUGGAUUUGUCGAUGAACAACAUCUCUGGAAUUAUACCCAAAUGUCUCAACAAUUGGACUACUUUGGCUCAAAAUGGACAUUCAAGUCCAAGUAUCGUACAUGACAAUAUAAUUCAGUCGGGAGGAUUUUCCUUGGAUUUGCCUUAUGAUGAUGAAGCAUCUUUAACAUGGAAAGGAGUAAGGUCAAAAUAUAGAAGUAUUCUGGGACUUGUAAAGAGUAUUGAUCUCUCAUGCAAUAAGUUGAGUGGGGAGAUUCCUACUGAAAUCACUUAUCUUGUUGGUUUGGUUUCUUUAAACUUGUCGAGAAACCGAUUAACAGGUCAAAUACCUUCAAGGAUUGGAAAUUUGCAGGAGUUAGAUUCUCUUGAUUUAUCAAGAAACCAGAUAAACGGCAGAAUUCCAAUAAGUAUUUCUCGGAUAAAUCGUAUUGGUUACUUGGACUUGUCAGAAAACAACUUGUCUGGAAAAAUUCCAAUAGGCGCUUAGCUUCAAACCUUUGACUAUGCUUAUGGUGGAAAUCCUCUGCUUUGUGGAGAACCACUCCCAAGGACAUGCCCUGAGGAUGAAAAAGGUCCAGGACAAUCUUUGUUGGUGAAUGAAGACGACAAAGAUGGGCUCAUAACACAAGGAUUUUACAUCUGCAUGGGGCUUGGGUUUGCUAUUGGAUUUUGGGGAGUUUGCGGCACUCUUCUGCUCAACAGGUCAUGCAGAUAUACGUACUUCAAUUUCUUGACUUUUCUGAACGAUUGGUUGUACGUGAAGGUAGAAAUCAUCAGGCAAAGGAUCCUUAAUAAAUAAAAGGCACCUUUGAGACGACAUGCUUCCCUUCAGUUGAAGAUGGAUGCGAUGAAGGACUCCUGUUUCUACUAGUUUUCGAGUAUUUGAGUGAUGAUAAGGGAUCUCACUGAAAUAAAGGAACCAUUUUAGUAUAUUUGUUGUGCUGUUAUUUGUAAGAACUUAACGGGAACUUCUCCCAUGAACUAUUUGGUAUGAUGUUCUUGUGUACCUCAUGGUGUAUGUUUUUUUCUUUCGCAAUGUAGGAAAUGUAGACGUAGAAUUGCCUUUUACUGUAUUGCUAUUAUGAAUAAAACAAUGGAAUUUGAGUUAA
Molecule: long non-coding RNA, 1390 nt
Organism: Prunus persica (peach)
Lineage: Eukaryota; Viridiplantae; Streptophyta; Magnoliopsida; Rosales; Rosaceae
Exons: 2
Source: RefSeq, a predicted model, not a curated record